UACGUAGGGCGCAAGCGUUGUCCGGAAUUAUUGGGCGUAAAGAGCUCGUAGGCGGCUUGUCACGUCGGGUGUGAAAGCCCGGGGCUUAACCCCGGGUCUGCAUUCGAUACGGGCUAGCUAGAGUGUGGUAGGGGAGAUCGGAAUUCCUGGUGUAGCGGUGAAAUGCGCAGAUAUCAGGAGGAACACCGGUGGCGAAGGCGGGUCUCUGGGCCGUAACUGACGCUGAGGAGCGAAAGCAUGGGGAGCGAACAGG
This 253-nucleotide ribosomal RNA is filed under the name uncultured bacterium. Its description in RNAcentral is "partial 16S ribosomal RNA". It matches the Rfam family "Bacterial small subunit ribosomal RNA", at positions 524 to 776 of the family's 1533-position model. The record is from RNAcentral.